This is a non-coding RNA of Cryptococcus wingfieldii CBS 7118, 97 nucleotides long. The record is from the annotation of a RefSeq genome assembly. NCBI's taxonomy places the organism in Eukaryota, Fungi, Basidiomycota, Tremellomycetes, Tremellales, Cryptococcaceae.
GUCUCGUUGGUGUAGUGGUAUCAUGCCCUCUUUGGGUUAUUAAUUAAGUUAAUUAACUGAGUGGGGGUGGUCCUGGGUUCAAUCCCCAGACGGGACC